This 253-nucleotide ribosomal RNA is filed under the name uncultured bacterium. Its description in RNAcentral is "partial 16S ribosomal RNA". It matches the Rfam family "Bacterial small subunit ribosomal RNA", at positions 524 to 776 of the family's 1533-position model. The record is from RNAcentral.
UACGAAGGUCCCAAGCGUUAUCCGGAUUUAUUGGGUUUAAAGGGUGCGUAGGCGGACUAUUAAGUCAGUGGUGAAAGCUCUCAGCUUAACUGGGAAACUGCCAUUGAUACUGAUGGUCUUGAGUAUGAUUGAAGUGGGCGGAAUGUGUCAUGUAGCGGUGAAAUGCUUAGAUAUGACACAGAACACCGAUUGCGAAGGCAGCUCACUAAGCCAUAACUGACGCUGAUGCACGAAAGCGUGGGGAGCAAACAGG